Molecule: long non-coding RNA, 520 nt
Organism: Camellia sinensis
Lineage: Eukaryota; Viridiplantae; Streptophyta; Magnoliopsida; Ericales; Theaceae
Source: RefSeq, a predicted model, not a curated record
CAAGGCCCACUUUGAUUAGGGCAUAAACUAUGGAAACCCUAGUACUAUAUAUACCAAACAAGAGCCUUUCUUUUCGUCCUCGCACUUGCUGGUUUCAUCUGGAGAGUUCUGAGAACAGAGGAAUCAAACAAGGCUCUGAGUCGCGAUGAGGGCUAAGUGGAAGAAGAAGCGCAUGAGGAGGUUGAAGAGGAAGCGCCGAAAGAUGAGACAAAGAUCCAAGUAGACAAUGCAUUUCGACAAGAAGACGGCUUCUCCUGAUAUGCUUUCAUCUUCUUCAUCGCUUGCUCGUGGGAGUUGGAGAGGAUUUUGAAGGGGGAGCUUGCAUUGUCUAUUUCAGUUCUUACUUCUAGUUUCAGGAUUUGUGGCACCUUUAAGAAGUUUAGGGUUAAUUUGUUUUUGAGUUUACUUCUGUUUUGUUUUGAUAUCUCUUAUCUGCAACUGAAUGACUUAUGGAAACUUUUUGUUAGAAAUAUUACCUACCUUAAAUCAAGUGGAUUGUUAUGGUCCUUGUGGUGGUUAA